RNAcentral lists this transfer RNA (89 nucleotides) under Candidatus Omnitrophota bacterium. RNAcentral's name for it is "Candidatus Omnitrophica bacterium tRNA-Leu". It matches the Rfam family "tRNA". From Rfam's summary of the family: Transfer RNA (tRNA) molecules are approximately 80 nucleotides in length. Their secondary structure includes four short double-helical elements and three loops (D, anti-codon, and T loops). Lineage: Bacteria; Pseudomonadati; Candidatus Omnitrophota. The record is from RNAcentral.
GCCGGGAUGUUGGAACUGGUAUACAAUGCAGACUUAAAAUCUGCUGUUCCGUAAGGGACGUGUGGGUUCGAAUCCCACUCCCGGCACCA